RNAcentral lists this ribosomal RNA (699 nucleotides) under uncultured Planctomycetota bacterium. Its description in RNAcentral is "bacterial SSU rRNA". It matches the Rfam family "Bacterial small subunit ribosomal RNA", at positions 94 to 804 of the family's 1533-position model. Lineage: Bacteria; Pseudomonadati; Planctomycetota. The record is from RNAcentral.
CGUGGCGGCGGGAGAGUAACACGUGGAUAUCUGCCCUAGACCCGGGAUAGCUGCGGGAAACUGCAGGUAAUACCGGAUAAUGUCUCCGGACCAAAGGUGUGAUUCCGUCUAGGGAUGAGUCCGCGUCCUACUAGCUUGUUGGUGGGGGUAAUGGCCUACCAAGGCAAUGAUGGGUAGCGGGUGUGAGAGCAUGGCCCGUCUCACUGGGACUGAGACACUGCCCAGACACCUACGGGUGGCUGCAGUCGAGAUAUCUUCCGCAAUGGACGAAAGUCUGACGGAGCGACGCCGCGUGCGGGAUGAAGGCCCUCGGGUUGUAAACCGCUGUCAGUUGGGAGGAAAUGCAUAAGGGUUCUCUCUUAUGUUUGACCGAUCUUCAGAGGAAGUCCGGGCUAAGUUCGUGCCAGCAGCCGCGGUAAGACGAACCGGACGAACGUUAUUCGGAAUUACUGGGCUUAAAGAGUGCGUAGGCGGCUUGGUAGGUUGGGUGUGAAAUCCCACAGCUCAACUGUGGAACUGCGCUCAAAACCCCCAAGCUUGAGGAAGGCAGAGGUGAGCGGAACUGAUGGUGGAGCGGUGAAAUGCGUUGAUAUCAUCAGGAACACCGGUGGCGAAGGCGGCUCACUGGGCCUUUUCUGACGCUGAGGCACGAAGCUAGGGUAGCGAACAGGAUUAGAUACCCUGGUAGUCCUAGCUGUA